Molecule: long non-coding RNA, 1212 nt
Organism: Podarcis muralis (Common wall lizard)
Lineage: Eukaryota; Metazoa; Chordata; Lepidosauria; Squamata; Lacertidae
Source: RefSeq, a predicted model, not a curated record
CUCUCUCUCUGUGUGUCCCCCUCCCUCUCUCCCUCCUUCUUCAUCUUCUUCCAAACUCCUUCUUUCCUUCCUUCUUGUGCCAAUUUGCCUUGAUGCUGAUUACCACUAAUGCGUGGGGCUGCGCUUUUAUGGGUCUUGCUUUCUAUUUAUUUUAUUUUUUUAGGGGAAGGGGAGGAGGCUGCAGCAAAGGAAGGCUGGGAUUUAAAAUCAGGACUUCUCCUCGGUCCCCUCUUUUUUUCAGGCCUCCGGUUCCAAAGUUUUUGGUGUCUUUUUUGCAGCAAAUGGGGAAAGAGUCAGAGAGAAUUGCCCAGCCUAGCUGGGAGGGUUGAGACAUUCUUCUGCAAACGCCACUCAGGAAGACCACUCUCUCACUCUCUCCCCCUCUCUCUCCCUUUCUUCUUUCCUUUGCUGAUCCAGAUUUUCCCCCACCCGGGCAUUGCCCCCCCCAUUUUUAUUUGUUUCUCUAUCCCACAUUGCAGCCCGCAUCGAUAACCCAGUCCACUUCAGUUUGCUGAAGGAAAGAGAUCCGGUGGGUUGGACAAAUCUUUUACCUCCAGCUACAAUAGUUCAGGCCUAAGGCGAGCUGCACCCCCCUCCACACUUGCUGGAAAUAUCCUUUUUAUUUCAAUGUAAUCGGAGCCGAAUAACUAUGAUGGAAAGCUGGGGUGAAAAAACCAACCACACGGGGACAUUCUAAUAGGAUUCCCCAUAAAAGGAAAAUCCGCAGAUUUAAUUAUGACGCAGCAUCUUCGGCACGGCGGACGCAGAGAUGUCCCUGGACUUUUGUGUGUGUGUGUGUGUGUGUGUGUGUGUGUGAAGUUCUGGAGAAGAGCUACCAGGUGUAGCAGAGCCGCCGACUCUCAGUGACCGUCCAAAGUCGAAGCCUGGGUCUUUCUACCUGAGGCUCCAGAUCACACACACAAAACCCCCACUCUGCCCACGGCUCAGUUAUCAAUAAAAUCAACCUUUAUCACUUGGUUCCUAGGUUUCUGUUUAUGGAAGGGCUCCAGUCAGGGGGAAAAUCCAAUUUGUACUUUUGGAUGGCUACCUGGGUUGUAGCACUGGCGAAGAGGAGGCUUAUACUGUAUAUUCGCACCCAAGCAACCGAUGCUGCCUUCAGAGGGGUCUGGAUCUAAAUUUUAUUUUAUUUUAUAAGUGUGUAAAGCUGUCCAGUUAUUAAAAGUCGAUCAUUAAAACAAAUUGGAAGAGAAA